Molecule: ribosomal RNA, 369 nt
Filed under: uncultured bacterium
Lineage: Bacteria
Description: bacterial SSU rRNA
Rfam family: Bacterial small subunit ribosomal RNA
Source: RNAcentral
UAGGGUGCGAGCGUUAAUCGGAAUUACUGGGCGUAAAGCGUGCGCAGGCGGUUUUGUAAGCCAGAUGUGAAAUCCCCGGGCUCAACCUGGGAAUGGCAUUUGGGACUGCAAGGCUGGAGUUUGGCAGAGGAGACUGGAUUUCCCGGUGUAGCAGUGAAAUGCGUAGAUAUCGGGAGGAAUACCGAUGGCGAAGGCAGGUCUCUGGGCUAUAACUGACGCUCAUGCACGAAAGCGUGGGGAGCAAACAGGAUUAGAUACCCUGGUAGUCCACGCCCUAAACGAUGUCGACUGGUUGUUGGGGGUUUGACACUCUCAGUAACGAAGCUAACGCGUGAAGUCGACCGCCUGGGGAGUACGGCCGCAAGGUUA